GUUGGGCAACGAAAGGUCUCUCCAGC
RNAcentral lists this non-coding RNA (26 nucleotides) under Cricetulus griseus (Chinese hamster). The record is from RNAcentral. Lineage: Eukaryota; Metazoa; Chordata; Mammalia; Rodentia; Cricetidae.